AUUGAACGCUGGCGGAAUGCUUUACACAUGCAAGUCGAGCGGCAGCGCGGGGGCAACCCUGGCGGCGAGCGGCGAACGGGUGAGUAACGCAUCGGAACGUACCUUGUAGUGGGGGAUAACUAUCCGAAAGGAUAGCUAAUACCGCAUACGCCCUGAGGGGGAAAGGGGGGGAUCGCAAGACCUCUCGCUACAGGAGCGGCCGAUGUCCGAUUAGCUAGUUGGUGAGGUAAAGGCUCACCAAGGCGACGAUCGGUAGCUGGUCUGAGAGGAUGAUCAGCCACACUGGGACUGAGACACGGCCCAGACUCCUACGGGAGGCAGCAGUGGGGAAUUUUGGACAAUGGGGGCAACCCUGAUCCAGCCAUUCCGCGUGAGUGAAGAAGGCCUUCGGGUUGUUAAAGACUCUUUCUAGCCGGGAAGAAAGUACGUCUUGGAUAAUACUUGUAGGCGGAUGACGGUACCGGAAGAA
Molecule: ribosomal RNA, 469 nt
Filed under: uncultured bacterium
Lineage: Bacteria
Description: bacterial SSU rRNA
Rfam family: Bacterial small subunit ribosomal RNA
Source: RNAcentral